Molecule: transfer RNA, 67 nt
Filed under: Indotyphlops braminus (Brahminy blind snake)
Lineage: Eukaryota; Metazoa; Chordata; Lepidosauria; Squamata; Typhlopidae
Description: tRNA-Asp
Source: RNAcentral
AAGAGUCUAGUACAAAUCAUUACGUAAUCUUGUCAAGAUUAAAUUACAACACCAGUUGUGACCCUUA